UCAAAGUUUAUUUCCCCAGGUACGUGACCUUCAAAAUACAUUCCUUACAAUACCUGACAAUAGAUUCCAUUGUCUUACUAACUAUAACCAUUAACUCAUACUAAUUCUCAUUCGAACAGCUUUUCUUUUCCCUUGUUCAUGCCUGAGCCUCCAGGUCGAUCGUAGGUAACUGAAAACAUUUAGUUUAAGCAAGGAUGAGCAUUUGAGUGCCCAGCAAGUAAUAACAAUUAUAUAUAUAAGCUGAAAGAAUAUAAGUAUUCUCUUUACAUAACACUUCUACAACGAAUCAAAAGUUGUGAAGUAAUCUGUACUGAUAAAAGAUUCACAUAACAACUCUCUUUCAAUUUCUUGAAAUUAGGCUCCACCCAUGAAUAGGGUUUAAGAAACAUACUAUGAACAUUGUUUUUCAUUUUCGAAAAGGUUUAGCAGAAAUUCAUCCGCAAACCGUCAUAACUUACGGGCACGGAGGGUGAUCAGCCCCGUUGUACCCUGUAUUGAUCAAUACUACAUAACUUGAACGAAAUUCAUCGCUCACCCUUUGUCCGCCGAAGCGCAUAAAAAUUUUCCCAUUAUCGGGAUGUUCAUACAUGCCUGGUUCCAAACCCGAAGGUUUUUAAUCUUGCUCAACAAUAAUAUGUAAUUCAACAUAUAUGUAUACGGGUAAUUGACAAAGGUAUAUCAACAUGUGAAUAAAUGCCAUGAUUAUCCAAG
This 711-nucleotide long non-coding RNA is filed under the name Panax ginseng (ginseng). RNAcentral describes it as "long non-coding RNA (PGIN_LNC009178)". The record is from RNAcentral. Lineage: Eukaryota; Viridiplantae; Streptophyta; Magnoliopsida; Apiales; Araliaceae.